UUGAAAUCUUUGCACGUAUCUACUUCAUGAAAACCAUGCAUAUUUCAGUACAUUAGUGGCUUGUACUACAUCGUUAAUUAUGCAAAAAGAAGUUGAGUAUGACUGUCACUGCAAAGUAUGUCAAUAUCUAUCACAAAUAUGUGAGUACAUAGAUAAAAUUAAGCCACCCUUUGAAGUAUAACUAAACAUCAGACUGGACUCGCCCAGAUUGAGCAUAUCACAAGCAUAAAUAUCUUGAUGAGACAUGGUAGCACCAUUUUUGGUACAUGGCCAGCAACAUGCAUUAAGGACUAAUCUGAUCACCAUUUAACAAGCAUUGUUAUUUAAAAUUAUAAGCUCUAGUAUCUUGAUGGCCCUCCUGUUCUACUACUCCUUGUUCAUCAAGCUUCUUGUUUUGGGAGAGAUCACACCAAGCAAACACGAUUCAGUUCAGCACAGACACGUACAGAUGCCUGAUCAACAACAGAGUUAAAGUCAAGUUGCAGAGAAAUUCUCUCAAUUGUCAGAAAGGGGGGACUUUGAUAAAAGCUUCUUCUAUCCAUCUGUAGUCCUGAUGUUUCCGCUUGUCAGAGCAGCAUGCAUCUACAAAUACAAGGAAAAAAUAUAGUUUACAUUACAAGGAAAGAAAUAGGAAAAUUAUGUUCUCUAAUACUGAUCAUGUAUGUAUUGAACAAUUAAGAGUGCAAUUCAAGUUGUUUUGCUAACUCGUACUCCCUCCUUCCGAAAAGACUUGUCCCAAACUUGUCCCUCAAAGGGAUGUAUCUAGCACUAAAUUGGUGUUAGAUACAUCCAUUUGAGGGACAAGCUUUUUCGAACGGAGGGAGUAGAUGACAAAAGUAAAAACUUGAUGCUGUAGCACAAAGGCACAUGUCAAACCAGUGAAGAGAAGACGAAACUAAUAUCAUACGGCAAAAUAUAUUCACAGCUUGACAAUGACGGAUCACUUGUAUCAAUUUUCACAGCAAGUAGGUCAAAACAAUCAGCCAUUUAGUCCCUCCAAUGGACAUUUACUGCUAAUUGUAGAUUGUGACCUAGCAUUGCCUUAAUGCACACAUCUUUGCUGACAGAAGCACUACAAGUGCAGGCCACGAUGUUUGCGUUCACUGAAGCUGUUGGCUUCCACUCCAAACAGCUUAGAAGCGCCUCUUAUUGCUCAAGUACUUUGCAAUUAGCAGCAAAGACACAAAGAAAUUAUGAUUUUAUUGUAAUGAGUAUAAACAAUACCAAAAAUCAUCAAAGAAGGGAUUAACGGAAAAAACAUCAAAGAAGGGAUUAAUGGAAAAUUAGGCAAUGACAAAAUAUUCUUGCCUUUUUGGACUAUGUCUUGUCACCUGAUAGUGUUGGUACAAAUUUUGCAAUUACUGGAACUAUGGGCUCGCCUAACGGCGAUGUCUCACUACUUCCCUCCAUUUCAGUUCAAGAUGCAGCAGCAAAAUAGCGGAAAACAAACUUAGUACUAGUCGACGAGCUUCGACCUAUCCAUCAUAUGGAGAGCAGAAAAUCGAGAAAUCAGCCCCAAUUCCAAGAUUGCAAUGUUAAGGCUGCAAAUUAAAAAGAUACACAGAAAGAGAGUCUUCUUUUCUACUGUACAUACAAAAGGUAAAAAAGUUGUUGUGCCUAUAAGCACUUUACAUGCAGGUAAUUUAAUAGGUAGAUGAGAUUAGUUUGUUCAUAUGUACAAUAUCUGAGAAGAGGAUGAAAUCUCAAUAUAUAAAACUGCUCGAAAAUAUAGUAUAAGCAUAGCAAGCUUGUCCGGUGAUUAAUAUUUCUGUUCAUGGAUACAGAGAGAUAUCCCUGUUAUUCCUAUCAAGUUGAAAGCAAGCAUAUCCCAGAUGAGCAUGAACUAGCUGUCCAGUCAAAAUUUUCAAUUAAGCAAACAUUAUGUUUUUUUUGUUAUGGCUAAUCAACACCGAAUAAAGCAAAGAUUCUGCACUAUAGUUCACAUUUGUUUCAUUGGAUGUUCUGUCCUUAGUAAUUUUCUUUAGCUCUCUAUAUGUAUAACAUGCUACUGUGUUGCUAGUGGGUUAGCUACUAUGCUACUCGCCUUUGCCUAAAAAUCAUUGUAAGUUCCCAAGCUACUGGUAGUCAUGAUUAAAAUAUAUAAUAUACACUUGAUGUGCAUAUGUUUGCCAUUCAUAUAAUUUGCAAAGAUUCAGAAGUUUCGAAUCUUAUCCUACAUGAUACACCAUAUGCUCCAAAGCACAAUUUUAAAUCAGGAGUACGUUUCAGAUAUCUAUGCCCAAAAUAUUAUGUAGAUGACAUGGUCAGUAUGCAGUAAAAGUUGAACAAAAAUUGAUUUCCUAAAUAAAUGCUACAGAAUUAACUAAGAAAAUUGGUAGCAACCUCAUGGGCAAGCAUACCUGAAGACCGGAGAUUUCUUCUCCAACGUUCACAUAUGGCGGAGCUAGACGCGGGGGUGCGAGCGCUGUGUGAAGAAUGCGCGAGGUUUUGCACUGGACGUCGGAGAAGAGUACCUUUGAGAUGGUCCGCCGGGGCAGGACGACGGACUAGAGUAUUUGUCCGCACAGAGGAGAUCUGCCGGGGCAGCGAGGACGCCGGCGACAAGACGGUGGGGUGCUGGAUCUGGACCUCCACUGGGCGCAAUCAUCCAGCUAGGCACCGGAUCUAGCCCGCCGCCACCGUCGGCAAGCUCUCUAUCGCCCAGCUACGCCGCGUUGGAGGAUUUUGGUUCUGUUGCGUUCCUGGGAAGGAGGAGAUGAUUCUGAAAGCAAAACUAGUAGAACCAAGGGAGUU
This 2754-nucleotide long non-coding RNA is filed under the name Triticum aestivum (bread wheat). RNAcentral describes it as "long non-coding RNA (TAES_LNC024590)". The stretch from base 705 to 830 matches the Rfam family "MIR1120/MIR1122 microRNA precursor family". Lineage: Eukaryota; Viridiplantae; Streptophyta; Magnoliopsida; Poales; Poaceae. The record is from RNAcentral.